UACGGGGGGGGCAAGCGUUGUUCGGAAUUACUGGGCGUAAAGGGCUCGUAGGCGGCCAACUAAGUCAUACGUGAAAUCCCCCGGCUUAACCCGGAACUGCCGUUGAUACUAUUUGUCUUGAAUAUUGUGGAGGUAAGCGGAAUAUGUCAUGUAGCGGUGAAAUGCUUAGAUAUGACAUAGAACACCAAUUGCGAAGGCAGCUUACUACACAACGAUUGACGCUGAGGCACGAAAGCGUGGGGAUCAAACAGG
RNAcentral lists this ribosomal RNA (252 nucleotides) under uncultured bacterium. Its description in RNAcentral is "partial 16S ribosomal RNA". It matches the Rfam family "Bacterial small subunit ribosomal RNA", at positions 524 to 776 of the family's 1533-position model. The record is from RNAcentral.